ACAGCUCUGCUUUUUCCCGAAGCCCUGCGUUCCACGCGGGGUAUUGAUGUAGGAAAGGCGGGGCAAU
This 67-nucleotide non-coding RNA is filed under the name unclassified sequences. The record is from Rfam.